This is a long non-coding RNA of Mastomys coucha (southern multimammate mouse), 484 nucleotides long. RefSeq lists it as uncharacterized. Lineage: Eukaryota; Metazoa; Chordata; Mammalia; Rodentia; Muridae. The transcript has 2 exons. The record is from RefSeq and is a predicted model, not a curated record.
AAGGCAUUCCAGGUAACGGAAGACAAGCAUUCAUUUACACUAUCGCAUAAGUUGGCCUCAAACUUGCAGCAAUCUUCCUAAUUCAGCCUUCCUAGAACUGGGGUCACAGCUUCACAAUGUUAUCUAAGGAGCCCGAGAUGAGCUGCUGUUCAUGGGUAGGAGACCACUUCACUGAUGUUACCCAGCCUGUGUGUGAGGUGAGGGACAGCGACACCAAAGAACCAUCUGAACCAAGAAAAAGAAAAUGCAAUGAGCUUCAGGAAAGAAAAACAGAACACAUCUAAAGAACAUUUGUAGAAACUUAUCUUUUUAACUUUUUCAACAUUCCCCACUGGAUACCACACACCUUUAGUUCGGGGAUCCCACAGCCUAAUAUGCCUGUCUGUGCUUCCAGAUGCCAAACGUUUACAAAGGGCAGAGUAGGAAAUACAAUUAAACACUUUAUUUCCUGUCUGAAAAUAAAAAGAAAGAACAUUUAACCACA